GUCCCUUUGGGGAUAUUUAAUAAAAUUGAAACGAUACAGAAAAGAUUAGUAUGAUCCUUGCAUAAGGAUGACUCGCACAUAUCAAGAAAUGGUCCAAAUUUUU
This is a small nuclear RNA of Lycium ferocissimum, 103 nucleotides long. The record is from RefSeq and is a predicted model, not a curated record. NCBI's taxonomy places the organism in Eukaryota, Viridiplantae, Streptophyta, Magnoliopsida, Solanales, Solanaceae.